This 71-nucleotide transfer RNA is filed under the name Camelus bactrianus (Bactrian camel). It matches the Rfam family "tRNA". Rfam says of the family: Transfer RNA (tRNA) molecules are approximately 80 nucleotides in length. Their secondary structure includes four short double-helical elements and three loops (D, anti-codon, and T loops). Further hydrogen bonds mediate the characteristic L-shaped molecular structure. tRNAs have two regions of fundamental functional importance: the anti-codon, which is responsible for specific mRNA codon recognition, and the 3' end, to which the tRNAs corresponding amino acid is attached (by aminoacyl-tRNA synthetases). tRNAs cope with the degeneracy of the genetic code in two manners: having more than one tRNA (with a specific anti-codon) for a particular amino acid; and 'wobble' base-pairing, i.e. permitting non-standard base-pairing at the 3rd anti-codon position. RNAcentral also lists the same sequence under 3 other names. Lineage: Eukaryota; Metazoa; Chordata; Mammalia; Artiodactyla; Camelidae. The record is from Rfam by way of RNAcentral.
AGGGUAGUAGCUCAGUGGUAGAGCACAUGCUUAUCCUGCACGAGGUCCUGGGUUCAAUCCCCACUACCUCC